UACGUAGGGGGCAAGCGUUGUCCGGAAUCAUUGGGCGUAAAGAGCGCGUAGGCGGUCCAGUAAGUCCGCUCUGAAAGUCCGGGGCUCAACCCCGGGAGGCGGGCGGAUACUGCUGGGCUAGAGUCCGGAAGAGGCGAGUGGAAUUCCUGGUGUAGCGGUGGAAUGCGCAGAUAUCAGGAGGAACACCAAUAGCGAAGGCAGCUCGCUGGGACGUUACUGACACUGAGGCGCGAAAGCGUGGGGAGCGAACAGG
This 253-nucleotide ribosomal RNA is filed under the name uncultured bacterium. RNAcentral describes it as "partial 16S ribosomal RNA". It matches the Rfam family "Bacterial small subunit ribosomal RNA", at positions 524 to 776 of the family's 1533-position model. The record is from RNAcentral.